This 253-nucleotide ribosomal RNA is filed under the name uncultured bacterium. RNAcentral describes it as "partial 16S ribosomal RNA". It matches the Rfam family "Bacterial small subunit ribosomal RNA", at positions 524 to 776 of the family's 1533-position model. The record is from RNAcentral.
UACAGAGGGGGCAAGCGUUGUUCGGAAUUACUGGGCGUAAAGGGCGCGUAGGCGGCCGCCUAAGUCAGACGUGAAAUCCCCAGGCUCAACCUGGGAACUGCGUCUGAUACUGGAUGGCUUGAAUCCGGGAGAGGGAUGCAGAAUUCCAGGUGUAGCGGUGAAAUGCGUAGAUAUCUGGAGGAAUACCGGUGGCGAAGGCGGCAUCCUGGACCGGCAUUGACGCUGAGGCGCGAAAGCUAGGGGAGCAAACGGG